AGAGUGAACGCUGGCGGUAGGCCUAACACAUGCAAGUCGAACGGCAGCACAGUAGGAGCUUGCUCUUACGGGUGGCGAGUGGCGGACGGGUGAGGAAUACAUCGGAAUCUACCUUUUGGUGGGGGAUAACGUAGGGAAACUUACGCUAAUACCGCAUACGCCCUUCGGGGAAAGCCGGGACCAGCAAUGGCCUGGCGCUGAUAGAUGAGCCGAUGUCGGAUUAGCUAGUUGGUGAGAUAAUGGCUCACCAAGGCGACGAUCCGUAGCUGGUCUGAGAGGAUGAUCAGCCACACUGGAACUGAGACACGGUCCAGACUCCUACGGGAGCAGCAGUGGGGAAUAUUGGACAAUGGCGCAAGCCUGAUCCAGCCAGUACCGCGUGGUGAAGAAGGCCUUGGUUAGUAACGCCCUUUAGUUGGAAGAAAAGUCAUUCGGUUAAUACCGGUAGUUCUAGUACGUAACCCAAAGAAUAAGACGACCGUCUAACUUCGAGUCCAG
RNAcentral lists this ribosomal RNA (498 nucleotides) under uncultured soil bacterium. RNAcentral describes it as "bacterial SSU rRNA". It matches the Rfam family "Bacterial small subunit ribosomal RNA", at positions 26 to 511 of the family's 1533-position model. The record is from RNAcentral.